GAGGGUAUAGCUCAAGUGGUAGAGCACGUGCUUAGCAUGUGCGGGGUCUUGGGUUCAACCCUCAGUACCUCCU
This 73-nucleotide transfer RNA is filed under the name Camelus bactrianus (Bactrian camel). It matches the Rfam family "tRNA". Rfam says of the family: Transfer RNA (tRNA) molecules are approximately 80 nucleotides in length. The record is from Rfam by way of RNAcentral. Lineage: Eukaryota; Metazoa; Chordata; Mammalia; Artiodactyla; Camelidae. RNAcentral also lists the same sequence under 2 other names.